RNAcentral lists this long non-coding RNA (387 nucleotides) under Solanum tuberosum (potato). Its description in RNAcentral is "long non-coding RNA (STUB_LNC007869)". The record is from RNAcentral. Lineage: Eukaryota; Viridiplantae; Streptophyta; Magnoliopsida; Solanales; Solanaceae.
CCCGUUAGAAGGUUAAUUUUGACGAAAAAUUCCUCCUUCUCCAACGGUCAUCUUCCCCACCUUUAAAUAAACCAUUAUUUCUUCUUCCCCACCAUUAACCCUUGUUCCUUUUAUUAAAAAAAUCACAAUUUCCUCUCAAAAUUAAGUAGGGUUUAGUUGUUAAUGUUCAUUUCUACUUCAAAUCUUGAAUUUAGGGUUUGUAAUCUGCUCUAAUUUCUUAUUUAGGUCUCUAAUUCGAAUUUUAAAUUUUCUCGAAAUUCAUCAAAAAUGGCAAAUGAAAACUUGAAUAAGCUUUGUAUGGAUGAAUCAGACCCAAUGCUCAAUGCUGUAGUGAGAUGCAAACACGAAAUUUUGCUGAAUUUGCAAACUUCUUGGUCGAAAUUAAAU